UAAGGAAUAUUGGUCAAUGGACGCAAGUCUGAACCAGCCAUGCCGCGUGAAGGAUGAAGGUCCUCUGGAUUGUAAACUUCUUUUAUCUGGGACGAAAACGGGAUUUUUAUCUCAAUUGACGGUACCAGAGGAAUAAGCACCGGCUAACUCCGUGCCAGCAGCCGCGGUAAUACGGAGGGUGCGAGCGUUAUCCGGAUUUACUGGGGUUAAAGGGUGCGUAGGUGGGCUUAUAAGUCAGUGGUGAAAUCUCCGAGCUUAACUUGGAAACUGCCGUUGUUACUAUAGGUCUUGAAUUAUCUGGAGGUAAGCGGAAUAUGUCAUGUAGCGGUGAAAUGCUUAGAUAUGACAUAGAACACCAAUUGCGAAGGCAGCUUACUACAUAUAAAUUGACGCUGAGGCACGAAAGCGUGGGGAUCAAACA
RNAcentral lists this ribosomal RNA (421 nucleotides) under uncultured bacterium. RNAcentral's name for it is "bacterial SSU rRNA". It matches the Rfam family "Bacterial small subunit ribosomal RNA", at positions 355 to 774 of the family's 1533-position model. The record is from RNAcentral.